GACGAACGCUGGCGGCGUGCUUAACACAUGCAAGUGGAGCGACGAACCGGGGCUUGCCCCGGGGCAGAGCCGCGAACGGGUGAGUAACACGUGGGUAACCCACCUCGAUGACCGGGACAACCCGAGGAAACUCGGGCUAAUACCGGAUGUGAUCGCAUCCCAUAAGGGAAGUAAUGAAAGAUAGCUUCGGCCUUCGCAUCGAGACGGGCCCGCGGAGCAUUAGCUUGUUGGUGGGGUAACGGCCUACCAAGGCGACGAUGCUUAGCUGGUCUGAGAGGACGAUCAGCCACACUGGGACUGAGACACGGCCCAGACUCCUACGGGAGGCAGCAGUGGGGAAUCUUGCACAAUGCGCGAAAGCGUGAUGCAGCAACGCCGCGUGGGGGAAGACGGCCUUCGGGUUGUAAACCCCUUUCAGUUGGGACGAAGCUUCGACGGUUAAUAGCCGGCUGGAGUGACGGUACCUUCAGAAGAAGCCCCGGCUAACUACGUGCCAGCAGCC
This 502-nucleotide ribosomal RNA is filed under the name uncultured bacterium. Its description in RNAcentral is "bacterial SSU rRNA". It matches the Rfam family "Bacterial small subunit ribosomal RNA", at positions 28 to 516 of the family's 1533-position model. The record is from RNAcentral.